Molecule: ribosomal RNA, 372 nt
Filed under: uncultured organism
Description: partial 16S ribosomal RNA
Rfam family: Bacterial small subunit ribosomal RNA
Source: RNAcentral
GGAGGGAGCGAGCGUUGUUCGGAAUCACUGGGCGUAAAGGGCGCGUAGGCGGCCGAGUAAGUCGUGUGUGAAAGACCGGGGCUCAACUCCGUGUACUGCAUGCGAUACUGCCCGGCUAGAGAAAGGUAGAGGCGAGUGGAAUUCCCGGUGUAGCGGUGGAAUGCGUAGAUAUCGGGAAGAACACCUGUGGCGAAGGCGGCUCGCUGGGCCUUUUCUGACGCUGAAGUGCGAAAGCGUGGGGAGCAAACAGGAUUAGAUACCCUGGUAGUCCACGCCGUAAACGAUGGGCACUAGGCGUUGGGAGGAUUGACCCUCUCAGUGCCGUAGCUAACGCGUUAAGUGCCCCCGCCUGGGGAUACGGCCGCAAGGCUG